Molecule: long non-coding RNA, 993 nt
Organism: Carassius auratus (goldfish)
Lineage: Eukaryota; Metazoa; Chordata; Actinopteri; Cypriniformes; Cyprinidae
Exons: 3
Source: RefSeq, a predicted model, not a curated record
CAUGUGGGCGUGUGUUGAGAGAGUGUGUGGUGCUUUUUGAGUUUAGUAAAUGACUGCAGCAAGAAAUACAGCGGGGCUGAGGGGCUUAUGAGCGAUGGAACAAGCUCUGUGUGCCGAAAUAUCAACGUUUGGGCUUUUCUGACGAGGAUUCAAGAAAGGCAUUGAAACCGAAAAUGAUCAGCGUCUCCUAACUGGACCAGACAAUGGAAGUAGCUUCAUGCAGCGCUAACAUUUCACCCCUGGCAAACGAGAACGCACUAAAUCAGACUACCUCAGCCAGAGGUAGCUAAAACUGUCGCGUGGCUCGUAAAAGCGGCACGUUUGUUCAUAGGGACGCGCGUGAAAGGGAGCGCGGACCAAAAUAACCAACGCGUAUGUAUAUAUUUCCAGUGACUUUGGAGACAUCCCGGCGCUCUGAGGAGAUAUUGUGCAUAGUUUCGGUUGUUUUAAAUCUUUGCGAUGGAGCGUCUUUGAAUAUUGGCGACUGCGCACGUAAUGCUGCUAUGGAUCGUCCGGAAUGAACAUCUCAAUUGGUCUCAUCGAGUUGUUUUUCACAGCGCUGCUUCCACCUGAAAUUCCGCAGCUCCGCUUCACCUGCACAGCCGCUGUCGGGAAGAUGACCAGCUCCUUGUCUGUAUGCUCCUGAGAUGUGUUUGGCCUUCCUGGGAAUCUGAAACGAGUAAAGGACGAAUUGUUCCCCUCAGAAGUGAGAGAAGAAGGAAUUGUAGCGUGCACUGAGCUGUAGCGAACUACAUCCGUCCUCUCAUCUCCAACCUGACACGAUGUUCGCACUCGGGAUUUAUUUGUGGGAAACUAUUGUAUUUUUCAGCUUGGCAGCGUCCCAACAAGCAGCGGCUCGGAAAGCUGCCACCCCAAUGCCCCCCUCAGAAUUCCUGGACAAGCUUAUGGGAAAAGUGUCCGGUUAUGAUGCAAGAAUCAGACCUAAUUUCAAAGACCCACAAGGCUCCAAAUCGGAUGGUACUCACAAGAAAG